UUUUUGAAGAUCAAGGGAAUUAGAGAGAGGAGCUUCAUGCUUCGGGUCGGAGAAGGAAAGACAUAGAAUUUGGAUUUUUCUUCUUCGUAGAGUUUUGGGAAGACUGAGGCAAUCGUUGCUGAAGUCAGUGUUGUAAUGGUGAAUCGAGAUUUUUAAAUGAAGUGGGUUUGAAUACUCUUGACUGUUUUGUAAAAUUGAGUUACGUCUGUGAUUGAAGGAUUAAAGGGGUGUCUAUAGGAUUGAGUAUGCGGAGUGAAUGAAAUUUAUUGGGUUAAUCUAACAGGACAGUCAGUGGAUACAAGAUCGUAAGUACAAAGGGGUAUUGAAGAUUAAUAGUUUGGGAUGUUCGAGGUUCUCUGUAACGU
Molecule: long non-coding RNA, 365 nt
Filed under: Physcomitrium patens
Lineage: Eukaryota; Viridiplantae; Streptophyta; Bryopsida; Funariales; Funariaceae
Description: long non-coding RNA (PPAT_LNC013509)
Source: RNAcentral